Molecule: long non-coding RNA, 624 nt
Filed under: Ficedula albicollis (Collared flycatcher)
Lineage: Eukaryota; Metazoa; Chordata; Aves; Passeriformes; Muscicapidae
Description: lncRNA (ENSFALG00000024827.1)
Source: RNAcentral
AGGACAGGACUCAUCUGCCACUAGUCCAGGUUGCUCAGAGCCCCAUCCGGUAUAUACUAAUUUCUCAAGCGAAGUGAGAAAAGCUUUGUCUCAUGCAGUCGCUUAUCUCCUCCGUGUUUGUCCUAGGAAGAUUUUUGAGGAUAGCGGCAUUUCAAAAGGUGAUCUGACUUGUCCUUUCACAUGGAAAUUUCCUGAAGAUCCCUACUGAUACUGAGGUGUUUAGAUUCCGGCUGAGAUCCUGUUUUUCCUGCUGUCACACUGGCAAUGUAAUGAUAGACUUGCUCAGAUCUAUUGGUGAUGAGUGCUACAACCCAUGGAAACCAACACCCUUUGAAAUCCUCUGUGUGUUCUGCCAGCAUCAAACAACCCUUCCUUGUUAGCAUGUGCCACACUCUAGGUCACCACAGAGGGUUUAAGCUGGCAAGAAAGAGAUUAAGAAGUCUCUUUCAGUGUACUCAUGAAUUUCAGCCUGGGGAGGAAGUGCCAGAAAGACAGAGCUGUUUAGGUAUGACUGUCUAAAUCCCAGAAGAACUUUACAAAGAGUGAAGAAGUUUCAUACACACAUACAUUUCUUUGAGUCAGGUAUUUCUUUUAUGGUCUCUACAGAAAAUGCAUGAAGUCUUG